AUAGCGUAUAUUAAAGUUGUUGCAGUUAAAAAGCUCGUAGUUGAACCUUGGGUUUGGCUGGUCGGUCCGCCUCACCGCGUGUACUGGUCCGGCCGAACCUUUCCUUCUGGGGAAUCGCAUGCCCUUCACUGGGUGUGUCGAGGAUCCAGGACUUUUACUUUGAAAAAAUUAGAGUGUUCAAAGCAGGCCUAUGCUCGAAUACAUUAGCAUGGAAUAAUAGAAUAGGACGUAUGGUUCUAUUUUGUUGGUUUCUAGGACCGUCGUAAUGAUUAAUAGGGACAGUCGGGGGCAUCAGUAUUCAAUUGUCAGAGGUGAAAUUCUUGGAUUUAUUGAAGACUAACUACUG
Molecule: ribosomal RNA, 346 nt
Filed under: uncultured eukaryote
Lineage: Eukaryota
Description: SSU rRNA
Rfam family: Eukaryotic small subunit ribosomal RNA
Source: RNAcentral